AAAGUUAAGUAAAAUUUGGAAUCAACAUUUAAAUUAGGUAUGCUUUAUGGCUUGAUGUUAUUUGAAAGCUGAAUAGCUGAUGUCAAAAAUAGACUUCCCUUUCUUUCCAAAGUGUGGCAAAAAUAACCACAUGCUUUUCUUGGAUUCCUGACUCUCACCCCUAAGGGUUUUCUUGUAUAGGAACCAACAAUUCCUUGGAUGGAAACACUGGAUAGGCUAGUCAUUAUUUUGAGAUUUAGGAGAUUGCAGAUUCUUGGCAGACUGUGGUUGUUUUUCUAGAGUAGUAGGCAAGUAGUUGGACAAAAAGCAAGAAGCUGAUCCAUGUUGCUGGCUUUGGGUUCUUCGUGAACAAAUGAGACAAGGCUGAAAAUUCUAUGCGCAUUCUACCCAGCUUCUUAGAAGGUCCUCACAGAAGAUGAGAUGGAUCACGUGGCCACCUUCACUGCCUCCUUCCCCACUUUACUCCUUCCAGGAGUCUAGGGACUCCUGUCUGCUGGGAUCAUUCUCCAAAAUAACCUUCCUUUACAGAAACCCUUGUCACAGGCUCUGUUUCCUGCGCGGAACCCAGACUGAGACACUAAAAUGAUACAAUAGAAUGAAGACAUGAAUGUGAAUUGCUCAGGGGUUGGUUGGAUUGUAUAUCUCUGUGAAUAGGGUUCAAAGAGAAGUUUGGGAAACACUGGACUAGAUGACCACUGGCAUCACAGCGUGUAGAAUUAGAACCUUCACAUCCCCAUCCAGCUAUAACAGGUUUAUGAGUAUCUAGGUCUUCCACGAAGAACAGUAGGAGAAGAUCCCCAAGCCUCGUCAGACCUGUUGAAUAUCCAUGAGUAUGUGUGACAUCCAGGAGAAACAGAGAACAAAACAAAACAGAACAUUUUCACAAACAUUCAGAACCCUACGAUCUUGGGAGUCUUCUGCACUCUAUAGUAGUAAUAGAUUAUGUCCAAAUCUGUUACAAAUUAUUAAACUGCAAGUGAUGUUGGCCUAUUCCAAGGAAACUGUUGGUCUCACUCUAGGGCAUGCCUAAAGGUAAAGGAGGAGGAGACCCAAGGAGGGCUUCUUUGCUUCUGUCCUCAUCCAUCCCGGGGAAAGGUGGCCUUUGCGUCAGCCAGGUUGUUGGCUGGACUCUGGGGAUUCUGAGAAUCUAGUUACCUGCCUGUCCCUCUCUGUACCUGUAUGAUCUAGGCCAGUGGAUCUCAAAGUGUGAUUCCUGGAUGAGACCAUCUUUUUCCAAAGGCAAAUUUUGUACUAGGAGGGAGAUUAGAAAUGCCAAUUCUUGGGUCCCACCCGGAUCUUCAACAAUCUGUUCUGACAAGCCUUCCAGAUGAUUCUGAUGCUGGCUCAAGUUUGAGAACGACUGUCCGAGGCCUUUUCCUUCUCACUUAGCUUGUGAGCUUUGGUGGCCUCCCAAGUUGAUUUCACACUCCUGCCCAGAGAACGGGCUCAGGGAACAAAAGAUUACUAGGUGAACUGGGUGGGGGGUGAGAAAAGAGGCUAGAACUGUGUAGGUGCUACCCAGCCGACAAGCAGAUUCCGUCCUGGACUUUGGAAGUCAGCUGUUUGGAAUGUGAGCUGUUUUCCUAGGAAUGGUAGAUAGGUUCCCACGCCAGCACACAAAGGCAUAUUUAAUCCUGAAUCCAGCUGAAAUAGCGCUGCGGCACAGUGAAAUAGAGCAGAUCACAGCGCUCCCGUAGUAUUAGUCACCAAUCAAAGCAGAAUAAAGCAAUAAAUGAAACACAGAGAUAGUAUUUUGUUUAUGCUAAUAUUGAUGCUGGAAGGACAGGUUGAUCUGCAGGCGGAUGGAGAGGUAAUUGGGGAUUUGUCAAGAUUAUGAAGGAGUGGCUUGCCUUUCUCUUUAGAAUGUCAUGAUACUAAAUUCCUGUAGUUAGGUUUUCUUAAAUGUGGUUCUAGACUGUUACCUUCUCUUUUUCUGAAGGCACGUUUCUCACUAAGAAAGAGAGAAAGAAUUCUGAGACAAGUUGGCAAGAGUUGAAAAGGAGAGCGGAAAGGAUAAGGGCAUUAAAGACAGUGUUGGGUUUGUUUUUUUAUUAACACGAGCAUCAACAGAGACAGAAUGAAGUUGAGUUGUGAGCAGUGAGGGAUGGAUCGUCAGAAGGAGGGUCAGAACUCUCUUCUGACAAAAGGGAGGAAAGAAAGCAGACAAAAACUGACUAUACAGUUUAAGAACUGCUGUUCUGGAAAACAUCCCUCCUAUUGUACUGCCCUUAGAAUUGGCCCAUAGUCACAUUCCAUGUCACCUUGUCCCCUCUCUGGCUACAUGGGCAGCUGACCAGAGGCCUUGACAAUGACCAAUGAUAUGGCAUAAGAAGGUGAGCUGGACCAAUCUGAUGUCCUCUUUUUCCCUCCCAGGCAUUUGACCUCAGGAAUACCCAAGGCGUUUGUUCGACCGUGACGGGAAGAGGUGCAUGGCUGGCCAUGGACACUUGACAUGUUCUCAAAUCAAAGCUUCUAGUUAGGUUUCCUGUGGUGGCUAAAGUACUUUCUUUUCGGGUUCACUAUACAUUUAUUAACCAUUCUAUUUUUGUACCAUACAAAUUAUCAUUGCUGACGGUUGAAUGGCUGGAUUUGGAGAAAUGUGGUAGCCCUAAUGGAAUUAAUUAAGUGAAUAAUAUUGCCUGACAAAUGGCUCCGCGUACCAAAGAGGGCUUGAGACUUAAUUACUGAUGUCAUUUAUCUCUCUAUUUGCACCCCAACAAUAAGUGACUCGCUUCUCAUUAACGUUGGAUCAUCUUCGAAAAGGAAAAAAAGUGGCCAAAAUAUCAAGAAAGAAAAAAAAAUUGAUGUCUUCGUUCCCCACUUCAUUAUCCUGAUAAAUCAUAACAGACUCUGUUAAUUAGAUGGGCAGCUUUAACUGGCUGACUCCUGUCCAACAAUUACCUCAGAAAGAAGCACCACUGGGAACAUUUCCUUCCCUUGGGAGGACAUGAAAGAAAGUCCAUAACAGAAAAAGGGAUCAUUUCCCCAGCCGUGCUGGGGACCACAGUGGUCAGUAUGAAUUUCUAGACUGAAGGGCUGGAGCUGUUGCAGAGAUGUUGCUGAUGCGUGAUGGCGAUGGUGGGGUGACCCAUGCUGUCCUCUUAAUCUAAGACUUAGGUAAUGGUCCCCCGUGCCUCCACCUCCCCUGGGGAGAUUAGAGCCUAAUUAAACAGAGGAACAGGUGUAAGAGGGUUAGAUUGAAUCAGGCCAAAUUAAUUGCUGAGAUUGGUUUUGCAUUUGGUAACUGGAAACAAUGAAUUAACUACAGUCGGAAGACAGCUAAUCCCUUGGUCUCGCUGCGACUGUGUAUAAAACAGACUAGACUUGCUGGGAACACAAACAAAGGGGGAUUUGACGUGAAAGUACAACGCAUCUUUGCAUGAGGAAGGCUGGGCAAUGAGCCUUGCCACGCAGAGUGGCUAUAUGUGUCCCGGACUGCCUGCCUGGGACAGCCCUGGUUUAUGCCUGUUGUUCCUGGAAAAUUAUUAAUAGUGCCCCCUUUGAUUCUAGAAAAAUGCCCCGGUUUGGACUAUCAAUCAAAUAGUUACUGUAUUUCAACGUCAAUUUUAAGCUGCCUUUUUCUUCUCUCUUUACCAGAAGAGUGGUGUCAUAGGUUGAAUUGUGUUCCCCCAAAAGACACUGAAGUCUUAAUUCUCAGCACGUGUGGAAGUGACCUUAUUUGGAAAAUAGGGUCUUUGCAGAUGAUCAAGUUAAGAUGAGGUCAUCAAUACUGGCCUAACCCAAUAUGACUGAUGUCCUUAUAAAAUGGAGAAACUUGGACACAGAGACAGACGUGCACAUAAGGAGAAUGCCAUGUGACAAGGGAGGCAAAGAUUGGGUGAUCUUUCUACAAGCCAAGGGGUGCCAAAGAUUGUCAGCAAACCGCUAGGAGUUCCGGGAGAGGCCUGGAGCAGAUCCUUCGUCUCAGCCCUCAGAAGGAACCAACCCUACGCACACCUUGAUCUCGGACUUCCAGCCUCCAGAACUGUGAGCCAAUACAUUUCUGUUGUUUCAAGCCAUCCACGUGUGGUAUUUUGUUAUGGAAGCCUGAGCAAACUAAUUCAAGCGGGUACUGGUUUCAAAGUGUCUAAAAACGCUCUCAUUGCUCUUGGGGUUUGUACAGUUCACAGAAAUGAGCCAUCUUGCUGGCCAAGGCUGCCGGCGGGGCUACUGUGAGAAGUCGGUCAGUAACCAAUACCGAUUUCUCAGUACCAGGCGCUGGAGAGAUGGUGAAGGAGACAGAUGUGGUUCCUGAUCUCCAGCAGCCAGCAGUCUGGUGGGAAGGGGAGGCAAUGAAGAUGACCUUGUACUUAAUCAGUUAAAUAUGAAUAUGUAUUCAGUGUGCAGAGGACGGACCGACGAAGCACAUCCUGGGGGAGGCACCCCAAGCUGGGCUGGAAAAAAAAAGGCUCGCAGAGGAAAGGAUGUCUAAGCUGAGACCUGAUGAGCAAGGGUUAUCUGGAUUUUAAAAAUGGGCUGUGGAAGGAGCAGGUGUGAAGGCUCUAGGGCAAGAGGAAGCAAGGAGCGUACACACAUACCCAGAGAAAUCCAAGAACAGAGCAGCUGGGGACGGCAUAGUAGCUUCCAGUUCUUUUUCUCAGCCUUCAUCUUCUCAUGCAUCAAAGGUUUACAGCACACUUAACAUGUUCUGUCCCCCGAGCUAGGGGCUGGGGGAUGCCCGUGGUGGAGACCAACACGUAAACUGCCCAUCAAGCAGCUGAUGGCCCAGGGCUGGGAAAAGAGAUGGGAGCAGACGGAGAGAACAGAGCCACCACUUCUGUCAGGACAACUCGGAGCAGCGGAGGAAGCCACCUCUCAGUUCCAGCUCCAGGAAACAAUGCCACAAGGAAGUAAUCAAACCUCUUAAGUUCCCACCUGGAGACAGCGAACACAGGGAAAGGAUCCUCGAGAGUAAUGUUACCCUCCAAACAACUGGCUGCCGAGCGCACACAAAUAUCUGGUUUCCACCACUUGCAGAGGUGCGUGAGGACCAUCCCAGCCCCGCUCUUGCCGCGGGUGCCUCUGAGAGGUCUGCCCCAGAUGCCUGCCUCAUGCUCACUUUACUGCAAACACUUGCCUUGGUCCUGUGCUGCGUGGGGUCAUGCUGGUUUCUGCAGAGAACUAGGAAGAUGAACAGGGGCUGUUCCAUGGGGCUGAACUGUGGCUCAAGGGCAGGCUGGGGACCAGAGGCCAUGCCAGUGGUCCUGCUGACCUCAUUUCUACAGGCCUGCCUGACCCCAUGCCUCCGUGCAUCCAGCAUCAACCUCCCAGCUCUCUCCAGCCCCAGAUGAGCUUGUGGGGACCCCAAGUUCAUCAUUCUCAAUUGGUCCCCCAUACAUGUACACGUAUACACGUGCAAGUAUCCACUGGAAUUUAAAAUUUUAAUAGUAGUAACUUCUGAAUGGCAAGAUUGGGGUGCUUCAAUGUUUUAAAUGUUUUUCUUGCUUACUUGUGUUUUUAAAAUUUCC
This is a long non-coding RNA of Equus asinus (donkey), 5468 nucleotides long. The record is from Ensembl. NCBI's taxonomy places the organism in Eukaryota, Metazoa, Chordata, Mammalia, Perissodactyla, Equidae.